Molecule: non-coding RNA, 2820 nt
Organism: Oryctolagus cuniculus (rabbit)
Lineage: Eukaryota; Metazoa; Chordata; Mammalia; Lagomorpha; Leporidae
Source: RefSeq, a predicted model, not a curated record
AUACAGUGGUAUAGGUUGUGUGUGGGUGGGUGGUUGUAAAGAGUUUAAUAAUUAUAUAUUUAAUUAUACAUGCUUAAAUCCCCACUUGAAUAUAUGCCUGAAAGACAUCAAACCAUCAAUCAAAUCUGAAGGACAUCAAAUUAGUCAUAAUGCAAUCUCAUAAGGUUUCAUUUUAAAUAAUUCAUUUAGAUUUCUCUUGAUCUUUGUUCCCUUAUUGUAAAAUAAGAAAACAAUUAAUUGCUUCUCAUAUAUACACUUUAGAGUCUUAAGUUAGUUGAUCCAUGCAUAACCCUUUUAUUAGAUUUAUUAAGGGCUAUUGUGAAGGGGAAAAGUUUCAACAAGGCUUUCAUGGAUUCCUUAAUUGUCAUUAAUAGCCAACUAUUUUAUAUGAAAGUUUAUGGUAAAGCCAAGGCAAUAAGAUUAUACAUUUUUGUUAUCCAUAAGGCACAUGCAGUACAUUAGAAGAAAAACAAAACUUCAUAUACAAAAUUCCUUUCUUUUCAUAAUGAAAGACUAGACAUUUUAAAGGGUUUUCUUGUCAAAAUACCACUUGAAUCUAGUUAAAACAUAUUUAAUAUAUUUCUAGGUUUGUAGGAAGCAAUGAAGAUAUCUAAAGGACAAAUAUAUAUAUAUAACAUUUAUAUAAGUAUCAUAAACAUCAUAAUGAAGAAUUAAACAAAAUAGUUGAGAUAAUAAAUGUUGCUUAGCUGGACACAAUCAGUCCACAAAGUAUAUUCACUUCAAAACACCAUGUUGUACAUGAUAAAAAAAAUUUAAUACUAUCUGAAUUUGAAAGAAAGAUUGCAGCCAUCAUGAUCUAGAACAAGAACACUGAUAGUGAGUGGUGAGUACAUGGAAGCUUGUAUUACCUGGGAGAUUAGAGCUUUGGCAUACUGCAAAAUAAUGCACUAAAAUGUCAACUUUCACAUUUAACUUGGAUAGUUAAACUGUGGGAAAAAAUUGUCUGAGGCACAUUGAUCCAUGACUCCUAACAAAGAAAAUGCCUAUGGUCUCUGGAGAAAACAUCCCAGGUUUAAACCUUCAGCAUUCUCACAAUUAAAGUUCUACUGAAAGUUUAUAUACAACAAAUUUACCUCUUAAACAUUCGAAGAAAGAAGUCUCCACUACUGAGAAGUAGGGCUGGGAAAAGCCAUAUGUUUAGCUACUCUGGGAUGUUAGAAGGAUUGUCAACCACUGCAACAAAGUGUUGCUAAUUUCCAUCACCUGGUCAUGUUACCAUAGGGCACAUUUCUUUCACAAUCAAAUCACCAUCUUGUCAUGUGCAAUUGACCAAUCAUUUGUGGAGAGAUGAUGCAAGUUAUGAAAAAUUCUAUUACUCAUUAACUUCCUCUCACCAACGUUAGGAUACAUUGAAACUUCUACCUGAAUGAACUACAUAAUGCCAAUUGCCAGAUAUUGAUCUUCCAAAUCCACCAUUCUUUACAACUUCGUAAAUUAGUGCCAUAAUAGAAAUCAGGACUCACCCUUCCAUCAUAUAUUGAUAUAUGGUAUAUUGAUUUAUGAUGGAAAUAAAUACUGAUUUAUACCUACCUACUUAAAUGUGGAGUCACAAAUUCCUAUUUUAAUCAAUGGCUAUAUUUCAUUAUUAUCAUUAUUUUACUCUAUAGUUGUAUGUCACCACAUGCUCUGAAUACAUUUGUACUUUAUUGCAUAAUAAGUUGCUCCUGGCUCAUCAUCCUUUUAUCCCCAUCUCAGUCUAAAUCAUUUCUAAAGGCGCUCUAUUUCUUUUUCACUGGAAGAUGAUAUUUCAAACUAGUAUCUGGGCACUGGGUGACCCUGCUUCUUAGUUAUGUCAGGAACCAACAUGGAAUUAUUAACUUAAAAUUGUGCAACAUUUGCUACUUAUAAAUUAUACAUAAAAAAAUUAAGGCUAGGACUCAUAUAAAUGAAUAAAUUAAUUGAGCAGAUACACACAAUACACACCGCACACAAAUGUAUAAACAUUUACACAUACUUUUAUGAAUUCACACACGUCCCUUCACACACAUCUAAAAACAUAUUUAUGUGCAUGGAUACGUAUAUAUAACCUUCACAUCAUACUCAUAUUAAUACUUCCAAUUCCCCUCUGUAGUAGACAAGCUAAUACUCCCCUCUCAAAGACAUCUCUUUCCAAGUCCAUGGAAUCUGUGACGAAGUUAGAGAUCUAGAGUUGGGAUGAAGAUUCUGAUUCUAACAUAACCACAGGGUUCCAAUAAGAGGGAGAGAAAACAGUCACAGUCACAUAGAGAAAUGUAAGCAGAAGCCAGUUAAAUAGAGUUGAUGCUGCUACACUGCUGGCUUUUAAACAGCAUUAGGGCAAAGGGAAGAACUGUAGUUAACCUCUGGAAAAGUUAAGAAAACAGAUUCUUCCCUACAGCCUGCAGAAGAAAUUAGUUCUUCUGACACCUUGACUUUAGCCCAGUAGAGUCUAAUUUUGGAUUUCUCACUUCCAGAAAUCCAUUAGUGUCCACAACAAUCUCAGAUUUCGAAGAGAGAAGAACAAUACUGAAAAAAGAAAAUGACUGAAUUGUGUGCCUGGAUUCAGCCUCAACCGAAAGGAACAAAAAGCACAAAAUGCAGUCUCAUGAAAUAUAUGCUGCUAUGGAGACUUAAGGAAUGACAUCAUUCUGCCUAGCUGGAUGACUCCUGGCUUCUGCUAGUUUUGAGAGCUCUGCUGUAACUUUGCUGUCAUAUUUUUCUUAUCAUUUCAUGCACAUCCAUCUUUUUUCUUCCUUUCUAUAUGUAAAAACUAAACAAUAAAGUAGUUAAGCAUAAUAUGUGCCCAAUCCUUCAUCUUCUAAUCAUCUGUUAUAUUUUAUA